RNAcentral lists this microRNA (24 nucleotides) under Sarcophilus harrisii (Tasmanian devil). RNAcentral describes it as "Sha-Mir-7373-o2_5p* (star (passenger))". The record is from RNAcentral. RNAcentral also lists the same sequence under 2 other names. Lineage: Eukaryota; Metazoa; Chordata; Mammalia; Dasyuromorphia; Dasyuridae.
AAGCCCUUCUGUUAGUAGUUGAGU